GGAGAGUUGGCAGAGCGGCUGAUUGCACUCCCCUGCUAAGGGAGACUGUACUAAUAGUGCAGCGAGGGUUCGAACCCCUCACUCUCCGCCA
This 91-nucleotide transfer RNA is filed under the name Vibrio vulnificus. RNAcentral's name for it is "tRNA-Ser". It matches the Rfam family "tRNA". From Rfam's summary of the family: Transfer RNA (tRNA) molecules are approximately 80 nucleotides in length. Their secondary structure includes four short double-helical elements and three loops (D, anti-codon, and T loops). Lineage: Bacteria; Pseudomonadati; Pseudomonadota; Gammaproteobacteria; Vibrionales; Vibrionaceae. RNAcentral also lists the same sequence under 1 other name. The record is from RNAcentral.